CCUACGGGAGGCAGCAGUGGGGAAUAUUGCACAAUGGAGGAAACCCUGAUGCAGCGACGCCGCGUGAAGGACGAAGUAUUUCGGUACGUAAACUUCUGUCAGCAGGGAAGAAAAUGAGGGUACCUAACCAAGAAGCCCCGGCUACCUACGUGCCAGCAGCCGCGGUAAUACGUAGGGGGCAAGCGUUAUCCGGAUUUACUGGGUGUAAAGGGAGCGUAGACGGUCAUGCAAGUCUGAUGUGAAAACCCGCGGCUAAACCCCGGGACUGCAUUGGAAACUGUGCGGCUUGAGUGUAGGAGAGGCAAGUGGAAUUCCUAGUGUAGCGGUGAAAUGCUUAGAUAUUAGGAGGAACACCAGUGGCGAAGGCGGCUUGCUGGACGACGACUGACGUUGAGGCUCGAAAGCGUGGGGAGCAAACAGGAUUAGAUACCCUAGUAGUC
Molecule: ribosomal RNA, 440 nt
Filed under: uncultured bacterium
Lineage: Bacteria
Description: partial 16S ribosomal RNA
Rfam family: Bacterial small subunit ribosomal RNA
Source: RNAcentral